RNAcentral lists this ribosomal RNA (1343 nucleotides) under uncultured bacterium. RNAcentral describes it as "16S ribosomal RNA". It matches the Rfam family "Bacterial small subunit ribosomal RNA", at positions 28 to 1378 of the family's 1533-position model. The record is from RNAcentral.
GACGAACGCUGGCGGCGUGCUUAACACAUGCAAGUCGAACGGAAAGGCCCUGCUUUUGUGGGGUGCUCGAGUGGCGAACGGGUGAGUAACACGUGAGUAACCUGCCCUUGACUUUGGGAUAACUUCAGGAAACUGGGGCUAAUACCGGAUAGGAGCUCCUGCUGCAUGGUGGGGGUUGGAAAGUUUCGGCGGUUGGGGAUGGACUCGCGGCUUAUCAGCUUGUUGGUGGGGUAGUGGCUUACCAAGGCUUUGACGGGUAGCCGGCCUGAGAGGGUGACCGGCCACAUUGGGACUGAGAUACGGCCCAGACUCCUACGGGAGGCAGCAGUGGGGAAUAUUGCACAAUGGGCGGAAGCCUGAUGCAGCAACGCCGCGUGCGGGAUGACGGCCUUCGGGUUGUAAACCGCUUUCGCCUGUGACGAAGCGUGAGUGACGGUAAUGGGUAAAGAAGCACCGGCUAACUACGUGCCAGCAGCCGCGGUGAUACGUAGGGUGCGAGCGUUGUCCGGAUUUAUUGGGCGUAAAGGGCUCGUAGGUGGUUGAUCGCGUCGGAAGUGUAAUCUUGGGGCUUAACCCUGAGCGUGCUUUCGAUACGGGUUGACUUGAGGAAGGUAGGGGAGAAUGGAAUUCCUGGUGGAGCGGUGGAAUGCGCAGAUAUCAGGAGGAACACCAGUGGCGAAGGCGGUUCUCUGGGCCUUUCCUGACGCUGAGGAGCGAAAACGUGGGGAGCGAACAGGCUUAGAUACCCUGGUAGUCCACGCUGUAAACGGUGGGUACUAGGUGUGGGGUCCAUUCCACGGGUUCCGUGCCGUAGCUAACGCUUUAAGUACCCCGCCUGGGGAGUACGGCCGCAAGGCUAAAACUCAAAGGAAUUGACGGGGCCCCGCACAAGCGGCGGAGCAUGCGGAUUAAUUCGAUGCAACGCGUAGAACCUUACCUGGGUUUGACAUGGAUCGGGAGUGCUCAGAGAUGGGUGUGCCUCUUUUGGGGUCGGUUCACAGGUGGUGCAUGGCUGUCGUCAGCUCGUGUCGUGAGAUGUUGGGUUAAGUCCCGCAACGAGCGCAACCCUUGUUCACUGUUGCCAGCACGUUAUGGUGGGGACUCAGUGGAGACCGCCGGGGUCAACUCGGAGGAAGGUGGGGAUGACGUCAAGUCAUCAUGCCCCUUAUGUCCAGGGCUUCACGCAUGCUACAAUGGCUGGUACAGAGAGUGGCGAGCCUGUGAGGGUGAGCGAAUCUCGGAAAGCCGGUCUCAGUUCGGAUUGGGGUCUGCAACUCGACCUCAUGAAGUCGGAGUCGCUAGUAAUCGCAGAUCAGCAACGCUGCGGUGAAUACGUUCCCGGG